Long non-coding RNA from Pseudopipra pipra, 8045 nucleotides. RefSeq lists it as uncharacterized. Lineage: Eukaryota; Metazoa; Chordata; Aves; Passeriformes; Pipridae. The transcript is spliced from 4 exons. The record is from RefSeq and is a predicted model, not a curated record.
CUGAUAAUAUCCAUGGGCAAGGGAAAGACAAGUAUGCACCACAAGGCUUCAGAGAUUGUAUAAAAGUUCUUAUUCUUUCUUCUAGUUACUAAAAUCAUGGGGGCAGAGCAGGGGGAGAGGAAAGAAUGAGAGAGUAAUACGCUAAAAAGGGCUGUUCCUCGUAUUGGUCAGACCUAGUGCUUCCUUUUCUUAUUUAUAUUUUGUGUUCAUAGUAUUAGGUCUUUCUUUAGUUACAUGCAUUUGUUAUGACUGUCAGGUCAUAUCAAUGUAAACAGCUGUGCUUGAACAACUGCUGGUGUUUGUAACUAAUGGGCAUGUUAUUGUAGUCAGAUAUGUGCUUAAAAUGUAACUGCAGUAUUUGUUCCUUAAAAGCACAUAUCCGGCACUAAGGAUCUAAUUUUGUACCUUUAGUUCUAAGUAAAUCUUUGCUAUUUCAAAGAUCAAGCACUUAAUACUCACAAACUGCCUUUCAAAAUAUUAGUGUCAGGAGUCACGUAAAUGGUUUUCUGCAAUUCACAGACUCUAAUGCAAAUCUAAAUUUUCCUAAAGCUCCUUUAUUUGAUGCUCACAAUCGAUCAAGCAGCUUUUUUGCUUAUCUGCUUUCAUUAAAAUUAUCUGCAGUACGUUCUGUCUUUCUAACUCGCUCUGCCUGCAGUAGGGAGAGAACCACCUGUAACAAGGUAUCUAAUCAGCAAUGAACUCCUGCAACACUUUUGACAUGCAGGGUCCUUUCAAUGUUUUAUGUCUUGCAAGUUUCACUAAGGCUAUAUUGUUUAAGAAACAUUUUCUGUAGUCUGUAAAUCACAGGUAGAGGUCUCAGCUUCUGUCACAAAGCUGCAUUUAAUGAUAUACAGAGCUAGUGCAUGCUCAAUAAGCAAGUUAAGUGUAGCUGAAAAUCGGGCAGAUCACUUUAUAAAGCGCUGUGGAGGAUAUAUCCAUCUGAAGAUAAUAAAUAAUGGGAAUAUACCACUAAAACAAACAGUAUUUAAAAGAACAUGCUGAUUUGAAGACAGAAGUUGUUUGAUCAGUUUAAGGAGCCCCAGAAUGGUCCUUGACUUCUGCUCUGGGCUGUUACAGUGUUGUGGAGUGCACAGCUAAGCUUUGUAAAAUACUUUCGUCUCACAAUCAAUACAAUAGCAAGUACAAGCUGAAAGUACAGUGAAAUAAAUUCAGAUUUCACUUCUAAUACUCCAUUCUAAUACCCUAUUUUGCACUGAAAUAAUCAGUGAGUCCCACAUCAAAACAUUAGGCCUUCUCCAAGUUAAAGAAAAGCUAGGAAAAUUAUUCACAAAUGUUUGCAUGAAUUCUAAAUUGCUUUCCUAUUCAAAAGUGUUCACACCCCUUUUGGUGAUUAAUCCAUGAACAUUUGUGCUAAUGGACAUCUGCCCACACAAAUGUUUGGCUUUUCACUAAGUGACAACUUAUUUUAUUUGCAAAUAAGGUAUUGGUGCCCCAGUAGGGCACUCACCAUCAUCCACUCAAAGACUAGGAACAGUACCAUGUGAUUUAGGUUACUAAUCUUAUAUAAUGAGUUGUGAAUAGGCAAAGAUAUAGUGGAAUUAACAGUUGAGGAAUACCACACCAGUAGAAAUGUACUCUAGAUGAGUAUCUGACACUCCAAACUGAAAAGAAACCCAAAAAACCAACAACCAGAAACCCCAAACCAACCAAUCAAAAAAAACCUACCCCAAUAUCUAGGCUGCUGUGAAAAUAAGAAAAGGGCUGCAUCAAAUAAAAUAUUUCUGCAAGUAGUAUGACCUGUUAUAGCUGUACUACUACAGCCUGGUUCCAGGUAGGUCUGAAACCUAAUGACUUAAGGUUUUAGAAGAAAAUAUAAGAAAAAAAAAAAAACUCUUACAGCUUAUAUAGAAAGCAACGAACUGAAGAAUUUCUUGAACUGGGUACACACCUGGCAUUAACUUGCAGGCACUCAGGCACUACUGAAACUCUCAACCAAACUUUCCAAGCUGUUGAUACUUACUAGUGAGUUCAGCAAGGCAGCCAAAAGCCAACAUAUAUUCUGCAGUUUUCAGCCUCAGAAAUGAACUGGAGGUGUUAGGAAAGCAGGCUUCUGCUGAGUUUAUUUUCUCUGUUUGUGAGCUUGGCAAUAUCUCAGCUGUUUUCUUAGCUAUUGAUUUUUCAGGUGGUAGUCUGAUAUUUAACCAAUACCUUCAGGAAAGUGCUCUUUUCAUCCAACUUACAACCAGGACAAAGGACAACUGUGUUAAGAUUUUUCUUCUUUUCCCCUACCAGAAACAUACAACAAACUCAAAUCUUGCAACUUCUUGCUUCAAAGAAGACAAAGAAAUUGAGUCAGAGAUUUCUUAUUAAAGCAGUAGAAAUGGCUAUUUAAUUUUCCACCCUUCUCUCAGCAGGAUCUCUUUUGAGAUGCAGCAUUUAAGACCUCUCCAGCAGGUCUUGGUUACCUUAAUGAGGGGCAUAAAGAACACAAUUGCAAUUAUGAGAAACUGUGAUCUGUUGUGUUGAUAUGUCUCAGCUAUGUUGUGGCUUAAAUGAAACACUGAAGACCAGUAACACCGACAGAACAAACACUGAUUUGCUUUGAGUAGGUGCAAGUGUUAAAAUGGAAGUAAGCCCUACCUACUUAAGUGUGGUUGUCCUGCUAAUAUGUUUGCAUGAUAACAUGGGCCAGAAACCUCUCUAUCCACAAGUAGCUAGCAACAAAUACAUCUGUCCCUAAGGAGCCAGAUAUCUCCUUAUGUAUACAAGAUGUUUCAAAUUGACAGCAUUGGUCAGUAUGCCAGUCCAGGGGCACAGGAAACCUGAUUGCCUGCUCUCAAAUUUUCUUGCAGUCGUUGAGACAAAAGAAGAUUUAAAGGAAAAUUUUGAAAAGUGGCAUUGGUUGACAGAUAUCUCAAAAAGUUUUCAACUCAGAGUGCUGAAAAAUUACUUGAAUGGAACAGCUUAAGACUUACUCAGUAAGACAUAGAGGCAAGUAAUUAGUAGUUGUACACAUACCUAUGGGAAAAUACCAAGUUGAAAUCCUUUUCUGAUUCUGUUUGAGGCUUGAGCUUGAAUUGUUCUUAACAAAUAUAUACUCUGUCUAAUCCAUGGAAAAUGACCCUGUCCAGCAGAAAUUUUAGUUUCAAUGACUCAGCAUCUUUGGAGGAAAAUGUAUCUUUUUCAUCAAGGCUUCAGCACAGAAUUUUCAGCUGUAAUUCUGAGUUUAUUGAUCACUCUGUAAGUACAUCCAGGAAAUAAUAGCUUUAAAACUUAAAAACUUCAGUCCAGUUGUCAAGGAGUAGUUCUUUUUUCCUGAGGUACAUCAAAUCUCUACAAGUUUGCAUGCUUAAACAGUUGUCUUAGUCUAGUACCGUUUAAUUUCUUUCUUGAUUGAUUUCAGAUGUCAGGAAAGGUCAGGCCUAAUCAGUACUUGGAUAGGCAAAUUCCCAGGGAACAUGUCACAGAGUGAGUUGUGGUGAUCCAGCAUACUGGACUCACACCCCAUGGCUGCCUCUCAGCAAGGGCUGGUAGGAAGAACUUUCCAUUCCAAGAUCUUGUCAGCUUUUGGUCUCUUUGCUCCUGCAGCAGUCUUUGUUAUUAGUAUGAUAUUAUGUUAAUCAAAAUUUCAUUGAGAAAUUACAGCAGGCCUAAUUCUGCCCAUGUUGAAAUAGUCAAACUGACUUAAGUGGAAGCAGAAUGAAAUUAUAAACCAUUAUACAGUUCUUGCAUAAUUUCAGUUUUGUAAAUAAUAUUGGCUUUUUGUCCUGAGUCAUUGGGUAGUGUUAUAUCCCUUUAAAUGGCUCUGCUCUUCUACCCUAGAGGUAACUGUGUGAUAGAUGAAGUUGUCUCCCUGCCAUAUACAGCGUAUGACGUGCUCACAUCUUUGCAUGAGGAAUUCUAGACUACUGUAUCACCAUCACUCCUUCUGUUGCAGACACAGUGUCCUCCCCAGUCUGCAGCAGCACUAUUAGCUCAGUUUCAACUGUGACAGAAAAGAAACACAAACAGAAGCUCAGAGAAAGCAAAGAUGUAAUUACGAUUCAGCCUGCCUGAAUAAGUCAGCAGCAUUUGCAAUAUUCUGCUCAAUAUAUUUAGCAGUGAAAUUGGUGGACUCUUUUGCUUAUUCUCACUUCACCUCUGUGAAGCUGCCUUGAGUACAUGCCUCUUUCAUAUACUUACGUUAACAUCCACUAAUGGUAAAUAUUGAAGCAUGUAUCAGGCUGCUGAUACAUACAAUGGAUGCUGCUCUAGCCCGGCAUUCUGUUCUUGUGUUUUGGUGUUAUCCAAAAUAGGAGUUGGACAAGCAGUUUUCUCACUCUUCCUUUUUUGUCAUCCCUCACUAUGGUGGUUGUUCUUUGUAAGCCAUUUCUUUUCCUUCCUGCCCACUGCACAAACCCAGUAUUGUGUAGCAUGAAAUGAGGAACAAGGGGGGCGCAGACUGCUCCUGUGUGCCCCCUGCCACUCCAAUUCUCUUGUUCAUUAAAAGCUCCUAUUGACUUUAAAUCAGUUCCACAGGGCUUUGUGUUGACAGAAAUUUGCCCAGAGACAAUUUGGCUGAAUUUUGUCUCCAGACUUCAAAGAAGCUUGCACUCGUACAUGUAGUUCAGACAGAAUUAUUGAUAAAGUUGGAGUGGGAUUAACAAAAAGUGCUGCUGGGGCCACAGCUGUAAACUCUGAACCUGUGAUAUGUCAUGGAAUAUUGGGGUUUAUAUCUGACUUUUACAGCUCCCCAAAUGAAACCAAGUCAUAUAUGUACUGUUUGUUUUCAACUUUCUGCCUGUUUUAGGAUUUAAAAUUUUACACAGUUUUUUGUGUGCAUUUUUUACUACAGGUACUUCAACCUGAAGAUGUUCAUCACAGUCAAAAAAGAUAAAUCCUAGACCUUUAGCAUAACAAUGAGGGCCUGAAUAUCCGCUCACAGAACCAUCACAGGUUUCAAUCUUUACUGACCAGACAUCACCAUUGCAAUCUCCAUUGCCACCCAGCAUCUGAGAAAACUUUGCCCUAAAAGUCCAGAUUGGGAUUCAGUAAAGAAGAAAAAUGAGAAAACAUGUUUUGCUGUGCAUAACCCACAACUCAGCAGUAAAAAAAGCAGAGGCAGGUGUCUAUCCCGUGGGAGUAAGUACAGAGGGAGAGGUGGAAGAGAAGUACAGCAAAGAAACUCUAUGCAGCACACAGAGCUCUGCACUGCAUUCCCUUUUGUACUACAGAACCUUGUUUCAAGAGAGAGUCUCAACAUAAAGAAUGACAAAUCAUCUCAAAUCAUACUUAGUCUUUAGAAAUUACUUACAACAAGUCAAUGCCCCCGACAAUAAAAGAAAGCAUUUAAUGUGGCAGACCAUGAUGUAAGGAAGCAAUAAAAGGGAAACGCAGCUUGAACUGUCAUAUUGCCGAGUAACUCACAUCUCCCUGCUGAAGGCAGCAAAGUUGCAGUUACUGAAUGGCUAAUCUCUUCUACUGUUUUUUAAUCAGAUGUUGGCAUUAUCUGCCACUAAUUGCUUUUUCAUUUCCACUUGUAAUUAUUCCAUUGCAUGUUUGUGGUGAGAAGCUGAAAAUGAAGCAGAUCACCAAGAAAGAAUUAAUUGUUAAUGAAUAAUCAUCAGUAGGAAGCCAAUUUCAUUAUCUUCAAAGAGGUAGCUAGAGAUUAACUACUGACUGGGGUUCUCCUACGUUCAGUGCAUGACUGUAAAGUAAUCACAAAUAAUCACACCCUCCAACUUCAUCAAUUAGUUUCUAUUAUGUGAAUUGAUACCCAUUUUUGGUUUUGUUGUUUAAUGUUAAUGGUAGUAUUCAAGCUGGGGAGUGCUAAUUGGAAGGUGUUGUAUUCAGUAGUCUUAGGCCCUAAUUAUUAGAGCAUCUUUUUCAUUAGCAUAUGAUUCUAGAAGGGAUAUAUGGUGGUAGUUGCUAAAUUCACCUUGUUAUAAAUGCAUUAACUUUAUCAAUAUAUUUUAGACUGUCACUUAAAAUAGAAUGAUACAUACAAAGCUACUUUGUCAGUAAUGCACAGCAGUAGGUCAGUUUAUAAAAUGUGUCAUCAUUAACUGUUUUUUGAGAAAUUCUCCUUAAAUCAAGACAUCAAAAACAAAGGCUGCUUGGGAUUUAAGCAAUGGGUAUAAUAGAGUAAAGGACUGAAAGAAAUCAACUAGAGUAAAAAACCUGUUAGAUACUAAGCAGAAGUUUAAAAAAAACCACAUUUACCUUUUUGUUAUUGCAUAAAUUGAUGUCCAGUGAGAAUCGUUGACUAUCAGCCUCCCAUUCUUCUUUGCUACUGAUUUCAAUUCAGUCCUCUGUGAUACCAACAGCAACUGUAAAGCAUAGCUCUCCUAAUGUUUUUAGAUGAAUUCUGUAUUACACUUGUAUAAUUUUAAUGGAAAAAGAAUAAAAUAAAUAAUGCCACCUGUGGGAUAGAUUCAGCCUCUCUGUACUGCUGCCCUCAACGAAGCCUCCAAUCUUCUCCAUGUGUGGAUAUCUGAUAGCAGUGUAAAUACUGUCUGUAUUUUUCCCAGCUUUGUACCUCUGCAUGUGAAGCUCCCUGAACUUUGACCAAGAGAACAGUUGUCACCUGUUAGUUCUCUUCUAUUUGAACUAAUUUAAGACAAGCCAACUUUUAGACACAAUUUUAUUAUUCCCUGGAGCAGGGUACAUAAGACAACCCCACCAACUGUGUCUGAAGAAAUAAAUACAUUAAUAGUAGUUUUGUUCAUGAUCCUCCUCAGCAGCCACAUUAAAAGUUUAUCUGGGAAAGAUGAUAAUAUAUCAGUGUUCUGGAAACACAGAGGAAUACCACUAAGGAAGAGGAGCUCUUUAUGAACUUCAGGUUUUCUGCAAAAAGAAAUAAUGGAACUUUACAGCAACCUUUCACACUCCUAACACACUGCAUCUCAGAGACUAUGCCAGGCACAGUCAGUCAUAAACUGCUUCUGAAAAUGGUUAUAAUAAACACAGAAAUUUGACCUUUGCUGAGAAAUAAAAUUUCCAGCAAUUCUGGAAACUGGAAAGUUCCAUUCUUAUAUACAGGUGAUAGUCACAUCAAACCACCUCUUAAAAUAUUACAGAGCAGUUACAUUUAUCUGCUGUCAACCAUACAACUAACCCGUGCCACCUCUGCUAAGUACCAAUAUGUUUCUUUCUCUUUGAAGACUGCAUUCAGUGUGUUGUGACAGAGCUUAGAUCACUGCAGUUACUUUCAGCCAAAAUAGUCAAAAGCAGCAAAGGUAAUAUUCUCUUUAAGACAAGAUAUUUUUCCCAGCUAUUAUGACGUGUGAUGUGCUGAUGUCACUGUUGCCACAAAAUAUUCUUCAAAUUGUGCAUAUUUGCAUCCAGAGUGGGGUGACUUCUGUUAUAUUUCUUUUUUGGCACAGAAUCUGAUGAUCUAUUAAAUAAAUAUUAAUCCCUUGUUGCCUUCAAAGCUGUCUCUGCCAUAUUAGGAUUUUAAAUAUCUUCAUUAAUUGCUUAACUACCUUUUCCUCAAUUCCCCAUGGGCUCCUUUGAUACUAGUGGCUCUAAUGUGUUACCAUGUGAUUCAUGGUUUCACUCUGCUGUAACACAGAACAUGUUUUUAGCCAAUUUUGUCUUACAGAUGCCUUUGACAAAAUGAAAAUUCAACAUUUUCAGACUCCAAAGAUAAGCAGGCCUAGAGUUGUUAGAGUACUACAUUUUUAAAAGGAUAGAAAGCAUUUCUGUCUCAGUUCAUGUUUGUGGAAAAUGUUUGUGAUCAAAAUCAUUGGUAAAUAAACCCUUCAGUAUUACUUAAUCUAGACACAUGCCCGAGAAGAACAGACGUGAAAUGUGAAGAAGCGUAAUGCCAACCAGGAAAAAACAGCUGUACUUUGUGAUAGUCCUGGAAAGAUGACUUCUGAAAUGUAACAGGAGAAACUUUCAGUAACAAAAUUUUGGCAGCUGCAAACACAGUCACAAGAAGCAAAAAUGUAGUGUUCAUAUAUUGAUGCCUUCAUAUUUUGAUGCAAAGGUCUGAUGCACUCUCCAUUCAUAUAUCCUCCAAAACUGAAUUUCCCCACCUCUUCCAGUCCCUGGUACAGACUAAGUCAUACACAUUUUCCCAUAGGAUACUUCAUGUUGAA